This 1318-nucleotide ribosomal RNA is filed under the name metagenome. Its description in RNAcentral is "bacterial SSU rRNA". It matches the Rfam family "Bacterial small subunit ribosomal RNA", at positions 8 to 1321 of the family's 1533-position model. The record is from RNAcentral.
AGAGUUUGAUCCUGGCUCAGAUUGAACGCUGGCGGCAUGCCUUACACAUGCAAGUCGAACGGCAGCACGGGGGCAACCCUGGUGGCGAGUGGCGAACGGGUGAGUAAUACAUCGGAACGUGCCCUGAAGUGGGGGAUAACGUAGCGAAAGUUACGCUAAUACCGCAUAUUCUGUGAGCAGGAAAGCAGGGGAUCGCAAGACCUUGUGCUUUAGGAGCGGCCGAUGUCGGAUUAGCUAGUUGGCGAGGUAAAGGCUCACCAAGGCGACGAUCCGUAGCGGGUCUGAGAGGAUGAUCCGCCACACUGGGACUAGACACGGCCCAGACUCCUACGGGAGGCAGCAGUGGGGAAUUUUGGACAAUGGGCGCAAGCCUGAUCCAGCCAUGCCGCGUGAGUGAAGAAGGCCUUCGGGUUGUAAAGCUCUUUCGGCGGGGAAGAAAUUGCUUCGGCUAAUACCCGGAGUAGAUGACGGUACCCGCAUAAGAAGCACCGGCUAACUACGUGCCAGCAGCCGCGGUAAUACGUAGGGUGCGAGCGUUAAUCGGAAUUACUGGGCGUAAAGCGUGCGCAGGCGGUUGUAUAAGUCAGAUGUGAAAUCCCCGGGCUCAACCUGGGAACUGCAUUUGAGACUGUACGGCUAGAGUGUAGCAGAGGGGGGUAGAAUUCCACGUGUAGCAGUGAAAUGCGUAGAGAUGUGGAGGAAUACCGAUGGCGAAGGCAGCCCCCUGGGUUACUACUGACGCUCAUGCACGAAAGCGUGGGGAGCAAACAGGAUUAGAUACCCUGGUAGUCCACGCCCUAAACGAUGUCAACUAGGUGUUGGAAGGGUUAAACCUUUUAGUGCCGUAGCUAACGCGUGAAGUUGACCGCCUGGGGAGUACGGCCGCAAGGCUAAAACUCAAAGGAAUUGACGGGGACCCGCACAAGCGGUGGAUGAUGUGGAUUAAUUCGAUGCAACGCGAAAAACCUUACCUACCCUUGACAUGUCAGGAAUCCCGGAGAGAUUUGGGAGUGCUCGAAAGAGAACCUGAACACAGGUGCUGCAUGGCUGUCGUCAGCUCGUGUCGUGAGAUGUUGGGUUAAGUCCCGCAACGAGCGCAACCCUUGUCAUUAAUUGCCAUCAUUUAGUUGGGCACUUUAAUGAGACUGCCGGUGACAAACCGGAGGAAGGUGGGGAUGACGUCAAGUCCUCAUGGCCCUUAUGGGUAGGGCUUCACACGUCAUACAAUGGUCGGUUCAGAGGGUUGCCAACCCGCGAGGGGGAGCCAAUCUCAGAAAGCCGAUCGUAGUCCGGAUUGGAGUCUGCAACUCGACUCCAU